AUGGCACCAAAAACAAAGGAGGAAGCCCUUGCCCACCCCAAAGCCAAAGUCAAAGCAAAGGCUUUGAAAGAACAAGAAGGCAGUGCUGAAAGGCAUCCACAACCACACAAAAUAAGACUUGCCACCCACCUUCCAGUGGCCUAAGACAACGCAGCUCCAAAGGCAGUUCAAAUGUCCUAGGAAGAACACCCCCACAAAAAACAAGCUUUAUCAUUAUGCCAUUAUCAAGUUCCCCUUGACCACUAAGUCAGCCAUGAAGAAGACACAACCACAUUUGUGUUUACUAUGGAUGUCAAGGCCAACCAGAUCAAACAGGCUGUGAAGAAGCUCUAUGACACUGGCAUGGCCAAGGUAAACAUACUCAUCAGGUCUGAUGGAGAGAAGAAGGUGUAUGUUCAACUGGCUCGUAACUUAACGAUGUUUUGAAUGCUGCCAACACAAUUGAGAUGAUCUAA
This 455-nucleotide long non-coding RNA is filed under the name Homo sapiens (human). Its description in RNAcentral is "non-protein coding lnc-NR2E1-5:1". The record is from RNAcentral. Lineage: Eukaryota; Metazoa; Chordata; Mammalia; Primates; Hominidae.